Molecule: ribosomal RNA, 394 nt
Filed under: uncultured Bacteroidota bacterium
Lineage: Bacteria; Pseudomonadati; Bacteroidota
Description: bacterial SSU rRNA
Rfam family: Bacterial small subunit ribosomal RNA
Source: RNAcentral
GAGUUUGUAUCGUGGCUCAGGAUGAACGCUAGCGGCAGGCCUAAUACAUGCAAGACGAACGGUAAGUUGUGUAGCAAUACAUAACCUAGAGUGUCGUAAGGGUGCGUAACACGUAUCGUCAAUCUGCCCGGAACUGGAGGAUAGCUCGCCGAAAGGCGAAUUAACACUCCAUAGGAUGGUAGGGAGGCAUCUCCUAGUCAUUAAAAACUACGGUGGUUUCGGAUGAGCAUGCGGAUGAUUAGCUAGUUGGUGAGGUAACGGCUCACCAAGGCGAUGAUCAAUAGGGGAACUGAGAGGUUGAUCCCCCACACUGGCACUGAGAUACGGGCCAGACUCCUACGGGAGGCAGCAGUAGGGAAUAUUGGACAAUGGGUGCGAGCCUGAUCCAGCCAUG